This 432-nucleotide ribosomal RNA is filed under the name uncultured bacterium. Its description in RNAcentral is "partial 16S ribosomal RNA". It matches the Rfam family "Bacterial small subunit ribosomal RNA", at positions 29 to 506 of the family's 1533-position model. The record is from RNAcentral.
AACGAACGCUGGCGGCAUGCCUAACACAUGCAAGUCGAACGAGACCUUCGGGUCUAGUGGCGCACGGGUGCGUAACGCGUGGGAACCUGCCCUUAGGUUCGGAAUAACUCCCCGAAAGGGGUGCUAAUACCGGAUAAUGUCUUCGGACCAAAGAUUUAUCGCCUUUGGAUGGGCCCGCGUUGGAUUAGCUAGUUGGUAGGGUAAAAGCCUACCAAGGCGACGAUCCAUAGCUGGUCUGAGAGGAUGAUCAGCCACACUGGGACUGAGACACGGCCCAGACUCCUACGGGAGGAAGCAGUGGGGAAUAUUGGACAAUGGGCGAAAGCCUGAUCCAGCAAUGCCGGGUGAGGGAUGAAGGCCUUAGGGUUGUAAAGCUCUUUUCCCCGGGAUGAUAAUGACAGUACCGGGAAAAUAAGCCCCGGCUAACCCCGU